RNAcentral lists this ribosomal RNA (465 nucleotides) under uncultured bacterium. RNAcentral's name for it is "partial 16S ribosomal RNA". It matches the Rfam family "Bacterial small subunit ribosomal RNA", at positions 28 to 507 of the family's 1533-position model. The record is from RNAcentral.
GAUGAACGCUGGCGGCGUGCUUAACACAUGCAAGUCGAACGGAAAGGCUCCUGCUUGCAGGGGUACUCGAGUGGCGAACGGGUGAGUAACACGUGGGUGAUCUGCCCUGCACUUCGGGAUAAGCUGGGGAAACUGGGUCUAAUACCGGAUAGGACGAUGGUUUGGAUGCCAUUGUGGAAAGUUUUUCGGUGUGGGAUGAGCUCGCGGCCUAUCAGCUUGUUGGUGGGGUAAUGGCCUACCAAGGCGUCGACGGGUAGCCGGCCUGAGAGGGUGUACGGCCACAUUGGGACUGAGAUACGGCCCAGACUCCUACGGGAGGCAGCAGUGGGGAAUAUUGCACAAUGGGCGCAAGCCUGAUGCAGCGACGCCGCGUGGGGGAUGACGGCCUUCGGGUUGUAAACUCCUUUCGUCAGGGACGAAGCGAAAGUGACGGUACCUGGAUAAGAAGCACCGGCUAACUACGUG